RNAcentral lists this unclassified non-coding RNA (188 nucleotides) under rhizosphere metagenome. RNAcentral's name for it is "partial ribosomal RNA internal transcribed spacer region". The record is from RNAcentral.
GAGAUCAUGCCCUUCGGGGUAGACCUCCCACCCUGUGUUAUUUACUCUUGUUGCUUUGGCAGGCCGCCUUCGGGCUCCCGGCUUCGGCUGGGGCGCGCCUGCCAGAGGACCCCAACUCUGAAUCAUAAACAUGUCGUCUGAGUACUAUAUAAUAAGUUAAAACUUUCAACAACGGAUCUCUUGGUUCU